Molecule: long non-coding RNA, 567 nt
Filed under: Glycine max (soybean)
Lineage: Eukaryota; Viridiplantae; Streptophyta; Magnoliopsida; Fabales; Fabaceae
Description: long non-coding RNA (GMAX_LNC002165)
Source: RNAcentral
UUCAAUUACGCUAAUUGAUUGCUCAAAAUUUCUCUUAUUUACAAUAUUCAUUCAACUACACAAUUUUUUUUACUACACUAGCAGAAUUUCGAUACGAAUGGAACAGAAUUGAGCAAAAUGAAAAAAACGAGACAGUAAUAAGUAAUAACAAAAACAAAAGAGCCUUUCAACAAUUUUCCUUACCAAACAAACAAAAACCACAAACGCCAAUAAAGUGCAGAAACUUGGAUCACAAAUUUCUGAAUCGCUUCUUGAUGCAAUUCCUCAUUGUUUUCCUACGAGACUUAAGGCGCUCUUGUCCAGGAGCCACGUUAACAAACGAGAAAUAAGCUCCUACGCCGAAGAGCAAACCGCCGAUGACAAAUGCGCCACCGGUCACCGCCAUUUGCCUCGCCGUCGGCGGAUACGACCACACCACCAUUCAAUCUUCAAUCAAUCUUAAAACCUAAAACCAGAAAUUAUUUUUGCAAAUAAAUCUCUGAACUUUGGGCCUUUCGGCUUGCUGUAAAACACCUGCCUACUUAUUUUCAAUUCUUAUUUUUAUUUGACUUAAAUAUCAAUUUGGUC